This 450-nucleotide ribosomal RNA is filed under the name uncultured bacterium. RNAcentral describes it as "partial 16S ribosomal RNA". It matches the Rfam family "Bacterial small subunit ribosomal RNA", at positions 354 to 796 of the family's 1533-position model. The record is from RNAcentral.
GUGGGGAAUUUUGGACAAUGGGGGCAACCCUGAUCCAGCCAUCCCGCGUGUGCGAUGAAGGCCUUCGGGUUGUAAAGCACUUUUGGCAGGAAAGAAAUCGCACGGGAUAAUACCUCGUGUGGAUGACGGUACCUGCAGAAUAAGCACCGGCUAACUACGUGCCAGCAGCCGCGGUAAUACGUAGGGUGCAAGCGUUAAUCGGAAUUACUGGGCGUAAAGCGUGCGCAGGCGGUUCGGAAAGAAAGAUGUGAAAUCCCAGGGCUUAACCUUGGAACUGCAUUUUUAACUACCGGGCUAGAGUGUGUCAGAGGGGGGUGGAAUUCCGCGUGUAGCAGUGAAAUGCGUAGAUAUGCGGAGGAACACCGAUGGCGAAGGCAGCCCCCUGGGAUAACACUGACGCUCAUGCACGAAAGCGUGGGGAGCAAACAGGAUUAGAAACCCUGGUAGUCC